RNAcentral lists this ribosomal RNA (253 nucleotides) under uncultured bacterium. RNAcentral describes it as "partial 16S ribosomal RNA". It matches the Rfam family "Bacterial small subunit ribosomal RNA", at positions 524 to 776 of the family's 1533-position model. The record is from RNAcentral.
UACAGAGGAUGCAAGUGUUAUCCGGAAUGAUUGGGCGUAAAGCGUCCGCAGGUGGCUGUGUAAGUCUGCUGUUAAAGAGUGAGGCUCAACCUCAUAAAGGCAGUGGAAACUACAUGGCUAGAGUGCGUUCGGGGCAGAGGGAAUUCCUGGUGUAGCGGUGAAAUGCGUAGAGAUCAGGAAGAACACCGGUGGCGAAAGCGCUCUGCUAGGCCGCAACUGACACUGAGGGACGAAAGCUAGGGGAGCGAAUGGG